UCGACGGUUGUUUUUCCAGAGG
This 22-nucleotide microRNA is filed under the name Gadus morhua (Atlantic cod). RNAcentral's name for it is "gmo-miR-11232-3p". The record is from miRBase by way of RNAcentral. Lineage: Eukaryota; Metazoa; Chordata; Actinopteri; Gadiformes; Gadidae.